This 1699-nucleotide long non-coding RNA is filed under the name Mytilus galloprovincialis (Mediterranean mussel). Lineage: Eukaryota; Metazoa; Mollusca; Bivalvia; Mytilida; Mytilidae. The record is from RNAcentral.
UGCCCCUGAAUUAGUAAUUUUAAGGAAAUUUUACUGUUUUUGGUUAUUAUCUUGAAUAUUAUUAUAGAUAGAGAUAAACAGUAAACAGCAAUAAUGUUCAGCAAAGUAAGAUUUACAAAUAAGUCAACAUGACCUAAAUGGUCAAUUGACCCCUUAAGGAGUUAUUGCCCUUUAUAGUCAAUUUUUAACAAUUUUCAUUAAUUUGGUAAAUUUAUGUAAAUUUUUACCAAAUAUAGUUCUCUGUUACUAAUGGGCAAAGUUCAUUAUAGAUAUAAUUGUAAGAAGCAAAAUUGUUCAGUAAAGUAAGAACUUCAAACACAUCACCAUCACCAAAAUACAAUUUUGUCAUGAAUCCAUUUGUGUCCUUUGUUUAAUAUGCACAUAGACCAAGGUGAGCGACACAGGCUCUUUAGAGCCUCUAGUUUUAAUUUAAUUUUUCUAUUUUUCUAUAAAGUAUAAGAUAAAGUUCAUUUAUAGAAAAAUAUAGCGUAACCCUAUAUUACAUGUAUUAAGAAAAAAAAUUGAUUGAAACCUGUGAGCCCCCUUAAUUUAACAAAAAUAGUUCACUGUACAGCCUUUGACAAUGAGCAAACGCUAUACCGGACAGUGGUUUUAAUAACAGCACAACAUUUGAACAAAUUGUAAAAAUUUGUUGCAAUGGGCUUAACUCAAAAGACUGCAACAAGGAACCAAACAAUAACCAGUAAUAUGUAAAUCAUAGACACAAAGCACUGAAAUAAGAGUACUAACAAUAGAUAUUUAAAUGAAAGUUUAUUAAAAUGUUCAUAAACAUGAUAAAAUAGUCAUUUUAUUGCUGUAUUUCUCUUCACUGAUAAUUUUUGAGUUUUGUGUAUUUGUAGGUCAGACAUCUCGGUUUUCAUGGUCAUCAUUCAACAGAUCAAUACUGAACAGAAAACUUGGAAGAUGAUAUUUUUCUCAACAGUGCGACUUUUUUUAUUAAUUUGAAAUGGAAUGUUUUUUUCUACAUUUAAUAGAAAAAGGAAAUUUCAACAUAAUGACUAUAAACAAAAAGGAGUCAUAUCAUCACGAUCAUAGAUGCUCAAGAACUUGAUCAUGUAAAUGCAACAAUGUAACUAUCAAUUGAACAUUUGUUGAAAGAAGGAACGAAUGAAAAAAAUAUUAGUAUGUUGUUGUCCAAAUAAACCUGCUUUGUCUUCUCAUUUGAAUCGCUCCAUCCAAUAAAGAUGUACCGAGGAGGAUCUUUGAAGAACAGAUUGAAAAAUGUUUUGUCUAAGAAUUGCAGGAAUAUUCUAGUGGAUGAAAUAAUUUAUUGACUUGACUCUUAUAUAGUGGACUGAAUAAUUGUACAUAGCAAGCAGCGAAAAAGAAAACUAAAACUUUAACACAAAAAGUGUUUAAAUUAUAAAUUUGCAAAUAUAAGCAUAAUAUUAUGUACACCACAAAGGUAUAUAAUUCAAAUUGUUUGCAUAUUCAAUCAUGUAUUGCAAUGAAACUAUAACAAAGAAAACCUUACUUCAUGAAAAGAGUAAACUAUUCAGUCAGAAUAUGAAAUAUUUUUUUCAGUUCUAUUUUUCAUUAUAAAAUAAACAAGACAAAGAUUUCAAAACAAUAUUUUUUCAUUUAUUUAAACAUGUCAUCAUUUUGUUUCAGUGAAAGAACUUUACUCUUUGACCUUAAAUUUUAUUAUACAUUCCAAAAUCAGAAUUAUAAUCUUUAU